CAUGCAUUGUGGGGUCCCUCAGCCUGGCUUGCACCCUAUUGUAAUCCAGGACCCCUUGGGGGAUGUUGGAGAGCUGGUUUUGGCUUGAUCCUGCAGGCCAGGCUGAGGGACCCCACGGGUGCACG
RNAcentral lists this microRNA precursor (125 nucleotides) under Myotis brandtii (Brandt's bat). RNAcentral describes it as "mir-9193 microRNA precursor family". It matches the Rfam family "mir-9193 microRNA precursor family". The record is from Rfam by way of RNAcentral. Lineage: Eukaryota; Metazoa; Chordata; Mammalia; Chiroptera; Vespertilionidae.